Lingula anatina is the source of this 828-nucleotide long non-coding RNA. The record is from RefSeq and is a predicted model, not a curated record. NCBI's taxonomy places the organism in Eukaryota, Metazoa, Brachiopoda, Lingulata, Lingulida, Lingulidae.
AUUUCAUUGCAACACCGUGGAGUUCUUAUCAUUCAGGCAUGGACACUGACACAUUUUGCAUUCAUUUUGCAAAGCUGGACUCUGUCAUGUAGGUUUUGAGUUAAUAAAGUAUCAAAAGGCAUGUAUUUGGCAUCAAAAAGUACGGCUGCUCCUCCCACUGUAACUAGGCAGGACAGCAAGACACCUUAUUAACUGGUUCAGUUCACCUAUGAAGACCCGAGAAGGGAGGCCGGGAUAUCCGAUGUCUUCACCAAGACGCCAGCGACUGCAGGCUCUGUCGUCCAUUAUUGUUUUCGGAAGCGCUGCCUAGUGAGUGGUUGAUGAAGCGCUCAGCAGGGCAUGUAAAUGCGCUGAAAUUUAGACAAAUUGAAAGGUUGAAAACUUUUAUGAUAACAUAUAGGGUGGUCUGGUGAGAGUACAAGAUUUUGUUAAGAAAAGAGCAAUACAUAUACAGAAGAAAAUAUGAGAUCUUAUUUGACCACCAGUUCAUUAUAUUUUAAUGACUAAAGGUCUGUAUUUGAAGGUAUUUUGUAACACUAAUCUGUUCACCAAAGUUAAGAACAACAUAUUUGCCAGAUCUUUUUUAUUGGUGAUUGAUACUGUAUCUGAAAAAAUAUCAGUUUAAUUUUGUAAACUUUUGAAACUGUCUUCCAAGCAAAGUAUAAAUGUAUAAAUAUAUCUGUAAUUGUCUCUUGAUUAAAACAUCAGUGUCAUUCCAUAUUAAUGGAGGGGUGGCUCAGUGCUGGGCUUUAUUAAGUAAUGUCAAGAAUGUGAUCAUGUUCCGCAUGCAAUCUCUUUCCAUCAGUGAAGUUUUUUUGUUAAUAAUUU